ACUAUAAAUAAAUUUCUUCCGAACUUCUAUUACAAGUAGACUUCAGCCGAGCUACUCCAUAGCGAGUGGAUUCUGGACGAACUACUACGACGAGACACCACUUCGAGCUUCCACGAUAACUGGUCCUCGCCCGAGCUCCUACAAUGGAUGGUCCCCUCUCGACCUCUCGCGAGAACAGGAUCCUGUCCAAACUUCUCCAGCGGAUGGAUUCUGGACGAGCUUCUAUAACGGACGAGCUCCGGCAGUUGGGUCCCUACGAUAGCCGAUCGCCUCCGAUGUCUGCCGAGCCUCCCCAGCGCUAUCCGAAGUCCAUCACCGACCGACCUCCUACCAAGCCCCCC
Molecule: long non-coding RNA, 341 nt
Filed under: Elaeis guineensis (African oil palm)
Lineage: Eukaryota; Viridiplantae; Streptophyta; Magnoliopsida; Arecales; Arecaceae
Description: long non-coding RNA (EGUI_LNC061981)
Source: RNAcentral